GAUCGCGGCGACGUGGGCGGUUCGCUGCCCGCGACGUCAUGAGAAGUCCACUGAACCUUAUCAUUUAGAGGAAGGAGAAGUCCUAACAAGGUUUCCGUAGGUGAACCUGCGGAAGGAUCAUUG
Molecule: ribosomal RNA, 123 nt
Filed under: Muraltia acipetala
Lineage: Eukaryota; Viridiplantae; Streptophyta; Magnoliopsida; Fabales; Polygalaceae
Description: partial 18S ribosomal RNA
Rfam family: Eukaryotic small subunit ribosomal RNA
Source: RNAcentral